This is a long non-coding RNA of Gossypium arboreum, 303 nucleotides long. RefSeq lists it as uncharacterized. NCBI's taxonomy places the organism in Eukaryota, Viridiplantae, Streptophyta, Magnoliopsida, Malvales, Malvaceae. The transcript has 2 exons. The record is from RefSeq and is a predicted model, not a curated record.
UUAAGGGAUAAUUACGUCUCUUUUUUUUCACCUUUGUGGUAUCGAGAGUUUCCAGGUUAGCUCGGGUUGGAGGCCGUCAGAGAUAUUAUCACACUGUCAAGCUAACGAUAUUGGUGUAGUGAUUUCAAGUACUUUGAGCCUAUGGCAUGUAUAGGAGUUUAAAUAUUAAAGUAUGUGAUAUGGCUUUAACCAUAUGUGUUGGCCUAUUUUGAUUAUGGGGUUGUAAAUCUAUUUUAAUUAUGCAUGCAUGUGCUAUGGUAUUAUGUGAUGAGUUUAUAAUGAUUAUAGUAUGAAUGUGGUAAA